UAGUAAUGGGCGAAAGCCUGAACUAGCAACGCCGCGUGUGCGAAGAAGGCCUUCGGGUUGUAAAGCACUUUUUGAGAGGAUGAGGAAGGACGGUACUCUCAGAAUAAGUCUCGGCUAACUACGUGCCAGCAGCCGCGGUAACACGUAGGAGGCGAACGUUAUCCGGAUUUAUUGGGCGUAAAGCGGGUGUAGGUGGUUUGGUAAGUAGGUCGUGAAAGCUCCUGGCUCAACUGGGAGAGGCCGUUCUAAACUGCC
RNAcentral lists this ribosomal RNA (255 nucleotides) under uncultured bacterium. RNAcentral describes it as "partial 16S ribosomal RNA". It matches the Rfam family "Bacterial small subunit ribosomal RNA", at positions 365 to 637 of the family's 1533-position model. The record is from RNAcentral.